This 229-nucleotide long non-coding RNA is filed under the name Elaeis guineensis (African oil palm). RNAcentral describes it as "long non-coding RNA (EGUI_LNC020958)". Lineage: Eukaryota; Viridiplantae; Streptophyta; Magnoliopsida; Arecales; Arecaceae. The record is from RNAcentral.
CCCUCAAGUACAGCAUCUCAAAUGGUGUAGGCUUCGAAAUAUUGGGGAGAUCACUAACCAAGGGUUGAGCCAUGCCCUGAUCUGGGGCUUGUAGAUCGCCGCUUUCUUGAUUCUGGAGUUUUAGGGCAGCUUUGACGGGUUUGUCUUUUCUCCAGACUUUGCAGAGGGGCCCGCAGCUAUUUCGAUGGUGAAGCUGUGAUGCUGGAUUCGGUGGUGGUGCUGUGAUGCU